This 219-nucleotide long non-coding RNA is filed under the name Brassica rapa (field mustard). RNAcentral describes it as "long non-coding RNA (BRAP_LNC003516)". Lineage: Eukaryota; Viridiplantae; Streptophyta; Magnoliopsida; Brassicales; Brassicaceae. The record is from RNAcentral.
AGUGGCGGAGCUAGAUAUUAAUUUUACAUGGGUCAUUUAUUCAUAUUAUACUAACUAAAAAGGUAUGUGUGAGGUUUGAACACAAGACAUGGGGGUCAUAGGGGAGGAUUUUUACCAAAUCAUCACGAGAACAUGAAUGUUUAUCAGCCUAUAAGUUAAGUUUUAUAAAUUUCAUGUGGGUCAGAUGACCCCCCUCAGGUCAGGGUGGCUCCGCCACUG